RNAcentral lists this ribosomal RNA (471 nucleotides) under uncultured bacterium. RNAcentral describes it as "bacterial SSU rRNA". It matches the Rfam family "Bacterial small subunit ribosomal RNA", at positions 27 to 518 of the family's 1533-position model. The record is from RNAcentral.
GGACGAACGCUGGCGGCGUGCUUCAUACAUGCAAGUCGAACGAUAAGGUCUCUUCGGAGACACAUAAGUGGCGGACGGGUGAGUAAUGUGUAGAGAAUCUGCCCUAGAGUGGGGACGAACAGUUGGAAACGACUGCUAAUACCGCAUAUGCGCGUAGCUGAGAUGCUAUUCGUGAAAACUCCGGUGCUCUGGGAUGAGUCUGCAUCUGAUUAGCUAGUUGGGGGUGUAAUGGACCACCAAGGCGACGAUCAGUAGCUGGUUUGAGAGGAUGAUCAGCCACAAUGGGACUGAGACACGGCCCAUACUCCUACGGGAGGCAGCAGUAGGGAAUUUUGCGCAAUGGGGGAAACCCUGACGCCAGCAACGCCGCGUGAUUGAAUAAGCCCUUCGGGGUGUAAAGAUCUGUCAGUGGGGACGAAACUUGACGGUACCCACAGAGGAAGCAUCGGCUAACUCCGUGCCAGCCGCAGC